RNAcentral lists this ribosomal RNA (936 nucleotides) under Thaxterogaster kaimanawa. Its description in RNAcentral is "Cortinarius kaimanawa partial large subunit ribosomal RNA". It matches the Rfam family "Eukaryotic large subunit ribosomal RNA", at positions 39 to 962 of the family's 3401-position model. The record is from RNAcentral. Lineage: Eukaryota; Fungi; Basidiomycota; Agaricomycetes; Agaricales; Cortinariaceae.
CAUAUCAAUAAGCGGAGGAAAAGAAACUAACAAGGAUUCCCCUAGUAACUGCGAGUGAAGCGGGAAAAGCUCAAAUUUAAAAUCUGGCAGUCUCUGGCUGUCCGAGUUGUAAUCUAGAGAAGUGUUAUCCGCGCUGGACCGUGUACAAGUCUCCUGGAAUGGAGCGUCAUAGAGGGUGAGAAUCCCGUCUUUGACACGGACUGCCAGGGCUUUGUGAUGCGCUCUCAAAGAGUCGAGUUGUUUGGGAAUGCAGCUCAAAAUGGGUGGUAAAUUCCAUCUAAAGCUAAAUAUUGGCGAGAGACCGAUAGCGAACAAGUACCGUGAGGGAAAGAUGAAAAGAACUUUGGAAAGAGAGUUAAACAGUACGUGAAAUUGCUGAAAGGGAAACGCUUGAAGUCAGUCGCGUUGGCCAGGGAUCAACCUUGCUUUUGCUUGGUGCACUUUCUGGUUGACGGGUCAGCAUCAAUUUUGACCAUUGGAAAAAGGUCAAGGGAAUGUGGCAUCUUCGGAUGUGUUAUAGCCCUUAGCUGCAUACAAUGGUUGGGAUUGAGGAACUCAGCACGCCGCAAGGCCGGGUUUUAACCACGUACGUGCUUAGGAUGCUGGCAUAAUGGCUUUAAUCGACCCGUCUUGAAACACGGACCAAGGAGUCUAACAUGCCUGCGAGUGUUUGGGUGGAAAACCCGAGCGCGCAAUGAAAGUGAAAGUUGAGAUCCCUGUCGUGGGGAGCAUCGACGCCCGGACCAGACCUUUUGUGACGGUCCCGCGGUAGAGCAUGUAUGUUGGGACCCGAAAGAUGGUGAACUAUGCCUGAAUAGGGUGAAGCCAGAGGAAACUCUGGUGGAGGCUCGUAGCGAUUCUGACGUGCAAAUCGAUCGUCAAAUUUGGGUAUAGGGGCGAAAGACUAAUCGAACCAUCUAGUAGCUGGUUCCUGCC